Molecule: ribosomal RNA, 425 nt
Filed under: Pseudomonas aeruginosa
Lineage: Bacteria; Pseudomonadati; Pseudomonadota; Gammaproteobacteria; Pseudomonadales; Pseudomonadaceae
Description: partial 23S ribosomal RNA
Rfam family: Bacterial large subunit ribosomal RNA
Source: RNAcentral
GGGUUGUGAGGUUAAGCGACUAAGCGUACACGGUGGAUGCCCUGGCAGUCAGAGGCGAUGAAGGACGUGCUAAUCUGCGAAAAGCGCCGGCGAGGUGAUAUGAACCUUUGACCCGGCGAUGUCCGAAUGGGGAAACCCAGUGCAAUUCGUUGCACUAUCGUUAACUGAAUACAUAGGUUAACGAGGCGAACCGGGGGAACUGAAACAUCUAAGUACCCCGAGGAAAAGAAAUCAACCGAGAUUCCCCCAGUAGCGGCGAGCGAACGGGGAUCAGCCCAUUAAGUUAUGUGUGUUUUAGUGGAACGCUCUGGGAAGUGCGAACGUAGAGGGUGAUAUUCCCGUACACGAAAGGGCACACAUAAUGAUGACGUGUAGGGCGAGGCACGUGAAACCUUGUCUGAAUAUGGGGGGACCAUCCUCCAAGG